AUAGCUGGUUCUCUCCGAAAUGCAUUUAGGUGCAGCGUCGGGGAUUACGUCCGGGGGGUAGAGCUACUGGAUGCUUGAGGGCCCGUAUCGGGUACCGACAGCAGCCAAACUCCGAAUACCCGUGACGCGUAUCCCGGCAGUGAGUCGGCGGGGGAUAAGCUCCGUCGUCGAAAGGGAGACAGCCCAGAUCGUCGUCUAAGGUCCCCAAGCGCGUGCUAAGUGGGAAAGGAUGUGGAGUCGCAUAGACAGCCAGGAGGUUGGCUCAGAAGCAGCCAUCCUUGAAAGAGUGCGUAACAGCUCACUGGUCUAGUGGUUCCGCGCCGACAAUGUAGCGGGGCUCAAGCACGCCACCGAAGACGCGGCAGCGUCCGUCUGGAUGCUGGGUAGGAGAGCGUCCCCAUCGGGGCGAAGCGGCGGCGCAAGCCUGCCGUGGACCGUUGGGGAGUGAGAAUGCAGACAUGAGUAGCGAGAGGCGGGUGCGAAUCCCGCCCGCUGGAUGACCAAGGGUUCCGGGGCCACGUUCGUCGUCCCCGGGUGAGUCGGGUCCUAAGGCGAGGCCGACAGGCGUAGUCGAAUGGAUGAACGGGCUGAUAUUCCCGUACCGGCAGCGAACCGAAACAACCGAGGCCUGGGGCGCUAACCUCCGGGUCCGUGCCGUCUCCCCUUUCGGGGGGUCGCGGCGCGGGCGCGUUGGGAUCCCCCCUCGUAGUAGGUCAGCGCAGGAGUGACGCAUCAGGGCAGCCGGCCGCGGAGGUGGUUUUCCGUGGUCAAGCGUUCGAGCCCGUCCCGCAGGCAAAUCCGCGGGGCGUCGGGGCGAGGCGUGAUGAUGGGGGCCUUACGGCCCGAAUCCGGUGAUCCGUGGUGCCGAGAAAAGCUUCGGCGUCAGGCGCGUCGCCGCCCGUACCCCAAACCGACACUGGUGGUCAGGUAGAGAAUACCAAAGCGAUCGAGCGAAUCCUGGUCAAGGAACUCGGCAAAUUGCUCCCGUGCCUUCGGCAUAAGGGAGACCCCCUGCGGUGAUGAGCGGCGGGGGGUGGCACAGGCCAGGGGGUAGCGACUGUUUACCAAAAACACAGGAGCGUGCGAAGGCGCAAGCCGCUGUAUACGCUCUGACGCCUGCCCGGUGCCGGAAGGUUAAGAGGAUCCGUCAACUCUUCGGAGCGAAGCGGUGAAUUCAAGCCCCGGUAAACGGCGGUGGUAACUAUAACCAUCCUAAGGUAGCGAAAUUCCUUGUCGGGUAAGUUCCGACCUGCACGAAUGGCGUAACGACUUCCCCACUGUCUCGACCAGGAGCUCGGCGAAAUUGCAGUACGAGUAAAGAUGCUCGUUAAGCGCAGAAGGACGAAAAGACCCCGGGACCUUUACUAUACCUUGGUAUUGGCGUUAGGCGCGGAUUGUGUAGCAUAGGCGGGAGGCUUCGAAGCGUGGGCGCCAGCUCAUGUGGAGCCGCAAGGUGAAAUACCGCUCUGUUCUCGUUUGACGUCUAACCUCGACAAGUCAUCCUUGUCAGGGACAGUGCCUGGCGGGUAGUUCAACUGGGGCGGUUGCCUCCCAAAGAGUAACGGAGGCGCUCAAAGGUCCGCUCAGCCCGGUUGGCAAUCGGGUGUCGAGUGUAAUCGCACAAGCGGGCUUGACUGCGAGGACGACGGUCCGAGCAGGGACGAAAGUCGGAGAUAGUGAUCCGGUGCCGGCGCACGGGCGCGGCAUCGCUCAACGGAUAAAAGGUACCCCGGGGAUAACAGGCUGA
Molecule: ribosomal RNA, 1747 nt
Filed under: human gut metagenome
Description: bacterial LSU rRNA
Rfam family: Bacterial large subunit ribosomal RNA
Source: RNAcentral